ACGGGAUUCCCGGUGUAGCAAUACAACGGGAUGACAGUGGCGAAAGGGUGCGUAACACGUGGGUAAUCUGCCGUUAAGUUGGGGAUAACCCGCCGAAAGGCGGGCUAAUACCGAAUGUGGUUAUCCCGCGCAUGCGGGAUGGACUGAAGAUAGGGACCUUCGGGCCUGUCGCUUAAUGAGGAACCCGCGUCCUAUCAGCUUGUUGGUGAGGUAACGGCCCACCAAGGCUUACGGGUAGCUGGUCUUAGAGGAUGGUCAGCCACACUGGGACUGAGACACUGCCCAGACUCCUACGGGAGGCUGCAGUCGAGGAUCAUUCGCAAUGGGCGCAAGCCUGACGAUGCGACGCUGCGUGGAGGAUGACGGCCUUCGGGUUGUAAACUCCUGUCAUUCGGGAACAAGGAACCGUCGGGAAUACCGGCGGAACUCGCUAGUACCGGAAGAGGAAGCCACGGCUAACUCUGUGCCAGCAGCCGCGGUAAUACAGAGGUGGCGAGCGUUGUUCGGAUUUACUGGGCGUAAAGGGUGCGUAGGUGGUUUCGUGUGUCGGACGUGAAAGCCCACUGCUUAACGGUGGAACGGCGUUCGAAACUACGAGGCUGGAGUGCAGGAGAGGAGAGCGGAAUUCUUGGUGUAGCGGUGGAAUGCGUUGAUAUCAAGAAGAAUACCGGUGGCGUAGGCGGCUCUCUGGAAUGCAACUGACACUGAGGCACGAAAGCGUGGGGAGCAAACAGGAUUAGAUACCCUGGUAGUCCACGCCCUAAACGGUGCACACUUGGUGUAGGAGGAAUUGACCCCUUCUGUGCCGGAGUUAACGCGUUAAGUGUGCCGCCUGGGGAGUACGGUCGCAAGAUCAAAACUCAAAGAAAUUGACGGGGGCCCGCACAAGCGGAGGAGCAUGUGGCUUAAUUCGAUGCAACGCGAAGAACCUUACCAGGACUUGACAUGCAGCUGCACGCCCCGUGAAAGCGGGGUUCCUUCGAGGGUGCUGCACAGGUGCUGCAUGGCUGUCGUCAGUUCGUGCCGUGAGGUGUUGGGUUAAGUCCCGCAACGAACGCAACCCUUGUGGCUAGUUGCCAGCGCAGGUGAUGAAUUUGCGCGCACUCUAGCCAGACUGCCCGUGAUAAGUGGGAGGAAGGUGGGGAUGACGUCAAGUCAGUAUGGCCUUUAUGUCCUGGGCUGCACACGUGCUACAAUGGUCGGCACAGAGGGAAGCAAGACCGCGAGGUGGAGCAAAUCCCACAAAACCGGCCUCAGUUCAGAUUGAAGGCUGCAACUCGCCUUCAUGAAGUUGGAUUCGCUAGUAAUGGCGCAUCAGCUACGGC
Molecule: ribosomal RNA, 1325 nt
Filed under: uncultured Verrucomicrobiota bacterium
Lineage: Bacteria; Pseudomonadati; Verrucomicrobiota
Description: bacterial SSU rRNA
Rfam family: Bacterial small subunit ribosomal RNA
Source: RNAcentral